UACGUAGGGGGCAAGCGUUGUCCGGAAUCAUUGGGCGUAAAGCGCGCGUAGGCGGCCCGGUAAGUCCGCUGUAAAAGUCCAGGGCUCAACCCUGGAAAGCCGGUGGAUACUGUCGGGCUAGAGUCCGGAAGAGGCGAGUGGAAUUCCUGGUGUAGCGGUGGAAUGCGCAGAUAUCAGGAGGAACACCGGUGGCGAAGGCGGAUCUCUGGGCCGAUACUGACGCUGAGGAGCGAAAGCGUGGGGAGCGAACAGG
This 253-nucleotide ribosomal RNA is filed under the name uncultured bacterium. Its description in RNAcentral is "partial 16S ribosomal RNA". It matches the Rfam family "Bacterial small subunit ribosomal RNA", at positions 524 to 776 of the family's 1533-position model. The record is from RNAcentral.